UUAAAAAAAAAUGCAAUCGAACCCUGGCCGCCCGCGUGGCAGGCGAGCAUUCUACCACUGAACCACCGAUGCUUUA
This is a non-coding RNA of Cordylochernes scorpioides, 76 nucleotides long. Lineage: Eukaryota; Metazoa; Arthropoda; Arachnida; Pseudoscorpiones; Chernetidae. The record is from the annotation of a GenBank genome assembly.